UACGGGGGGAGCAAGCGUUGUUCGGAUUUACUGGGCGUAAAGGGCGCGUAGGCGGCCACUGCAAGUCGGUUGUGAAAUCUCCGGGCUUAACCCGGAAAGGUCAAUCGAUACUGCAGGGCUAGAGUGCAGAAGGGGCAACUGGAAUUCUCGGUGUAGCGGUGAAAUGCGUAGAUAUCGUAAGGAACGCCAGUGGCGAAAGCGAAUCUCUGGGCAGCAACUGACGCUGAGGCACGAAGGCCAGGGGAGCAAACGGG
This 254-nucleotide ribosomal RNA is filed under the name uncultured bacterium. RNAcentral describes it as "partial 16S ribosomal RNA". It matches the Rfam family "Bacterial small subunit ribosomal RNA", at positions 524 to 776 of the family's 1533-position model. The record is from RNAcentral.